Molecule: long non-coding RNA, 210 nt
Filed under: Elaeis guineensis (African oil palm)
Lineage: Eukaryota; Viridiplantae; Streptophyta; Magnoliopsida; Arecales; Arecaceae
Description: long non-coding RNA (EGUI_LNC023988)
Source: RNAcentral
CUGAUGUCCGUAGCACCUUUCAGCUAGUACUUAAAUGGACUGUGAAAGAAUGCUCGAGCUACUCAAAGGAGUUGAUGCUCUCUGAUUAAAGCUCGAAAGAUCAGGCUCGAGCAGCUUUCUGAAUAGUUAUCAGAAAGUUGAUGUAUAAGAGGAUGUCGGUUGCCCCCUGAAUCAUCAUGAGAGUCUUAUAGCUCUUCAAAUGGUCGAUUG